GGAGAGUCCUAAGGAGGCACUCAGGCCUCGGGCUUUGUUCCACCACAGUAUCCACCCUACCCGCAAGGGCCAGGGUAUCCGAUGGGAGGUACAUCGGAUUUCUUUCAUUGCAGCCCAUAUCCCGCCUUUAUGCCCAAUCCACCCUUUUACCCACCUUACCCACAGUACCCCAUGUUUCCACCCUCAUCCUUCUACCCAGGUCCAGUAAAC
RNAcentral lists this long non-coding RNA (210 nucleotides) under Manihot esculenta (cassava). RNAcentral's name for it is "long non-coding RNA (MESC_LNC010183)". The record is from RNAcentral. Lineage: Eukaryota; Viridiplantae; Streptophyta; Magnoliopsida; Malpighiales; Euphorbiaceae.